This is a long non-coding RNA of Medicago truncatula (barrel medic), 687 nucleotides long. RefSeq lists it as uncharacterized. Lineage: Eukaryota; Viridiplantae; Streptophyta; Magnoliopsida; Fabales; Fabaceae. The record is from RefSeq and is a predicted model, not a curated record. The transcript has 2 exons.
ACAACUUUCUCUUAUCUUUAUCUAGCUCAAGGGGAUUUGGAUCCUCUCAUGAAUGAUUUACAAAUGAGAUGGUAAGGUGUAAUUUCUCACCAUCCAAAAUGAAACAGAAACAUAUAAAAGAUUUAAAUAAUAUAUAAUUUCUCUCUUGAAUAGUGUGAGAUUACACAUAACUCUCUCAUGUGUAAAUCACAUUUUGAAAGAACUCAACUUUCCUCUCAUGGUGUAUACACAUUUGGAUGGGUGUGUAAGAAACAUUUUCCUAAUUUUUUAGAUAAAGUAAAUAAAUGGCAAAAAAGCAGCCAAGGUUUCUCAAGCAACAUAUUUCAAAAUGAGUCCCAAGCCAGUUAAGAUCUCAUCAUCGAAAGUGUUUGCAUCAACACGAUGGAAGUAAAGAAGCGAAACUAAAGGCAAAAUGGUUCAUCUUAGACCUAACUACUAGUUAGGUCAUAGCUGAAAACCCUCAAGAUCUUAACCUAUAUGGAAGGGCAACUAAUUAUCCUUUGGCAAUUUAUGUAUCGCAUAUAAAGAUCUCAAAUAUAUAGAAUAGCUACUCGUGUGUAUGCAUUAAGAAACAUGAUUAAUUAGUGCACUUUGUUAUUUUGCUGUUAUAUAUAUAUGUGUCGUUGAUUGCUUUAUAUAUGUUGAAAUUUUCAUAGCUAGAUCAAUGAAAUAUUUCUACUUCCAAGA